AACGCAUCACGUAAGUGGUGAGUGGCGAACGGGUGAGUAACACGUAGGUAACCUGCCCUUAAGACGAGGAUAACCAUUGGAAACGAUGGCUAAAACUGGAUAGGAACAUUGAAGGCAUCUUUGAUGUUUUAAAAGACCUAGCAAUAGGUAUGCUUAAGGAGGGACCUGCGGCGCAUUAGUUAGUUGGUGAGGUAAUGGCUCACCAAGACAGUGAUGCGUAGCCGGACUGAGAGGUUGAACGGCCACAUUGGGACUGAGAAACGGCCCAAACUCCUACGGGAGGCAGCAGUAGGGAAUUUUCGGCAAUGGGGGAAACCCUGACCGAGCAACGCCGCGUGAAUGACGAAGUACUUCGGUAUGUAAAGUUCUUUUAUUGGGGAAGAAUGGUACGUGGAAAAACGUACGUGACGGUACCUAAUGAAUAAGCCCCGGCUAACUAUGUGCCAGCAGCCGCGGUAAUACAUAGGGGGCAAGCGUUAUCCGGAAUUAUUGGGCGUAAAGGGUGCGUAGGUGGUUAGUUAAGUCUUUGGUGUAAGUGCAGUGCUUAACGCUGUGAUGCUAAAGAAACUGGCUGACUUGAGUGUAGUANAGGCAAGUGGAAUUCCAUGUGUAGCGGUAAAAUGCGUAAAUAUAUGGAGGAACACCANUGGCNAANGCGGCUUGCUGGGCUAUAAC
Molecule: ribosomal RNA, 675 nt
Filed under: uncultured Bacillota bacterium
Lineage: Bacteria; Bacillati; Bacillota
Description: bacterial SSU rRNA
Rfam family: Bacterial small subunit ribosomal RNA
Source: RNAcentral